This 20-nucleotide unclassified non-coding RNA is filed under the name Mus musculus (house mouse). RNAcentral's name for it is "oocyte_clustered_small_RNA9321". The record is from RNAcentral. Lineage: Eukaryota; Metazoa; Chordata; Mammalia; Rodentia; Muridae.
CUGGCUUCACUCGAUACACU